Molecule: non-coding RNA, 2228 nt
Organism: Microcebus murinus (gray mouse lemur)
Lineage: Eukaryota; Metazoa; Chordata; Mammalia; Primates; Cheirogaleidae
Source: RefSeq, a predicted model, not a curated record
AAAUACAAGAACAAUAAAUUGUGUGUUUGUGUGUGUGCAUGAAUGUGUAAUUCCUCUAGGAGAAUAUAUUUUUAUGGACCUAAACUUAAGAAGGACAGAAAAAUAUCCUAUUUCUAAAUGACAUUUUAUGUCUUUCACAAACUACUGUAAACAUUAAAUUUAGAAUUCUUAAGUUGAAAAUCAAAGAACAUAUACAGAUUUCAUAUCAACAUAAUCAUAACUUAUCUACCUUGGGGUUUUUUUUGUUUUUUUUUUAAAGUUCUGGCCCCUCUGUAUCUUUGGGUGGGAUGACUAUUACCACACACAGGAAGAGGACCAAUCAUGAGAUCUUCCACAUCUUUCAUGCUUCCAAAUGGUUAUUCUGGUCUUCCUGAGGUUUCUUUUGGCAGCUCAAAGGAUUUUUUUAAUUACUUGUUUUCCACCAAGUUACAGAUAGAUACCCUGACACACAAGGUGCUACAGUAUUAUCUCAACAUAACAGGCCAAUUGGAGAGGAGACAAAUGUUACGGGAUCAGAAUGCAGUGAAAAUGAAACCUUUGGUUUUAUACCAGCAAGAUUCCCACCCAUUUAAAAAAAAGAUGCAAGCCUAACAAACAUACAGAAAAAACUGUAGGAAAUAAACAUCAAACCCAAUUGAAUAUUUUUAUGAAAUCAUUAUCACUAUGUUGAUAUUAAGGGAAAAUUUAGUCCCUAGUUUCAGGCCUAUAAUUGUCUAAAUACAGACAUCUCUCCAAUCUUUUUUUUUUUUCCCAAGUACAAUUUCUUUUGCCACUAGAAUGAAAGGCUGAAGCUUUAGAGAUUCUACAAGUUCAAAAAUAGAAGAAAAGUUGUUAAAAAUACAAAUUUUAGGAGCUGAGCCCCAGAUUCCCCACAUUCUUGAGAGGCUCUCUCCUUCUAAAUCUCUACCCUAAAUUCUUCAACUUCAACUAAUUAUUUAAGCAUAAAUUCCAACAACUAAGAUUUUUACAGGUUUUGAGCACCCUCUUUUACACAGGCAAAUACCUAGAAGACAUAAUGGACUAAUAUUUGUGUUAAUGCCAGUUUGUUAACUUGCUUCAAUUCUAUGUGUCAGUCACUAAAUUCAGGGCCAAAGAAAGAUGAAUAAAGCCCGGACCCCUGUCUCUCAGGGACGCAUGUCUGGCAAACCAGGUAGUCUAAGGGGAUAGACAUUUGGCCACUAAGACAGGAGGGCAGAAAACUGUGUAGCAUGGCUCCUUUGGGGAAAAGCCUGGUUCUGGUGUAACUGGAGGCUUAUGGAGCUAGGAGAACAUGUGGGGCCUAGGGAGAGUGGCCAUAGGUAUGAGAGAUGCAUGCAAAAGGAGACUGAAAGGCUACCAAAAACAGACUGAUGUCAACCUUUUAUUUAGGUCUUGUCCCAUCCCCAGGAGAGUGUGAAAUGGGUUAGAGCUGGAGGGACAAUAGGCCCUGCUUUCUCACUCUCAGCUAGCAUGGUCACCUGAUGAUUAUGGGCAUACAGGCCAAGCUGUAAUAUACCGCAACUUAAUUACUGCAUUUUAGAUCACUGCAGUUGAAAAAACUGAAACUACAAGUUCAACUAUUAUGGGGACCUGCUUAAGUAUAUGACAAAAUACUCAAGUGAACAACCCAAACUUGGCUAAAUUAUACUUGUGUACUAAAUGUGUGCAUAUUUCAAAACAAAACCAUGUUUUUGUGAUAACAUUAAAACCAUUCAUCAACAGAAAUGUCAGUGCCUUAGAGAGUGGCAUGUUGGGCUUCAGAGGGGGUUAUCACUGUACUGUCAGCAACCAAAGAGAGAAUUAAACAUGGGUGAUAUAAAGAAAGGCAAGAGAAUUAAACACGGGUGAUAUGGAGAAAGGCAUUUUUUGUUCCGAAGUGUGCCCAGGGUCACACCCUGGAAAAGGGAGGCAAGUACAAGACUGGGCCAAAUCUCCAUGGCUUCUAUGGGUGGAAGACAGAUCAGCCUGCUGGAUUCUCUUAACCAGACACCAAUCAUAACAAAGGCAUCACCUGAGGACAGGAUACACUGAUGGAGUUUUGAGAGAAUCCCAAGAAGUACAUCCCUGGAAUGAAAAUGAUCUUCACCAGCAUUAAGGAGUAGGCAGAAAGGGCAGACUUGAUAGCUUAUCUCAAAAAAGCUACUCAUGAGUAAUAAUUGGUCACUGCCUUAUUUAUUAUAAAACAGAAAUGUCUCAUGACUUUUUUAUGUGUACCACAAUUUAAUUGGUCUCAUACACCAGAAUUCAGA